AACGAACGCUGGCGGCAGGCCUAACACAUACAAGUCGAGCGAGGACUUCGGUCCUAGCGGCGGACGGGUGAGUAACGCGUGGGAACGUGCCCUUUGCUUCGGAAUAGCCCUGGGAAACUGGGAGUAAUACCGGAUGAGCCCUUUGGGGGAAAGAUUUAUCGGCGAAGGAUCGGCCCGCGUUGGAUUAGGUAGUUGGUGGGGUAAUGGCCUACCAAGCCGACGAUCCAUAGCUGGUUUGAGAGGAUGAUCAGCCACACUGGGACUGAGACACGGCCCAGACUCCUACGGGAGGCAGCAGUGGGGAAUCUUAGACAAUGGGGGAAACCCUGAUCUAGCCAUGCCGCGUGAGCGAUGAAGGCCUUAGGGUUGUAAAGCUCUUUCAGCUGGGAAGAUAAUGACGGUACCAGCAGAAGAAGCCCCGGCUAACUCCGUG
RNAcentral lists this ribosomal RNA (433 nucleotides) under uncultured bacterium. RNAcentral describes it as "partial 16S ribosomal RNA". It matches the Rfam family "Bacterial small subunit ribosomal RNA", at positions 29 to 507 of the family's 1533-position model. The record is from RNAcentral.